GGGUGCGAUCAUACCAGCACUAAUGCACCGGAUCCCAUCAGAACUUCAAAGUUAAGCGUGCUUGGGCGAGAGUAGUACUAGGAUGGGUGACCUCCUGGGAAGUCCUUGUGUUGCAUUCC
This 119-nucleotide ribosomal RNA is filed under the name Aegilops tauschii subsp. strangulata. Lineage: Eukaryota; Viridiplantae; Streptophyta; Magnoliopsida; Poales; Poaceae. The record is from RNAcentral.